AAGGUUUAAAGAUUUAAUUAAAAAUUGCUAAUUUUUAAUAUGGGGUUAAAUUCCUUAAAUACCUUU
Molecule: transfer RNA, 66 nt
Filed under: Echiniscus testudo
Lineage: Eukaryota; Metazoa; Tardigrada; Heterotardigrada; Echiniscoidea; Echiniscidae
Description: tRNA-Ser1
Source: RNAcentral